RNAcentral lists this ribosomal RNA (465 nucleotides) under Vreelandella stevensii. RNAcentral's name for it is "partial 16S ribosomal RNA". It matches the Rfam family "Bacterial small subunit ribosomal RNA", at positions 338 to 795 of the family's 1533-position model. Lineage: Bacteria; Pseudomonadati; Pseudomonadota; Gammaproteobacteria; Oceanospirillales; Halomonadaceae. The record is from RNAcentral.
CCUACGGGGGUCUGCAGUGGGGAAUAUUGGACAAUGGGCGAAAGCCUGAUCCAGCCAUGCCGCGUGUGUGAAGAAGGCCUUCGGGUUGUAAAGCACUUUCAGUGGGGAAGAAAGCCUUGGGGCUAAUACCCUCGAGGAAGGACAUCACCCACAGAAGAAGCACCGGCUAACUCCGUGCCAGCAGCCGCGGUAAUACGGAGGGUGCGAGCGUUAAUCGGAAUUACUGGGCGUAAAGCGCGCGUAGGCGGUCUGAUAAGCCGGUUGUGAAAGCCCCGGGCUCAACCUGGGAACGGCAUCCGGAACUGUCAGGCUAGAGUGCAGGAGAGGAAGGUAGAAUUCCCGGUGUAGCGGUGAAAUGCGUAGAGAUCGGGAGGAAUACCAGUGGCGAAGGCGGCCUUCUGGACUGACACUGACGCUGAGGUGCGAAAGCGUGGGUAGCAAACAGGAUUAGAUACCCCUGUAGUC